GACGAACGCUGGCGGCGUGCUUAACACAUGCAAGUCGAACGGAAAGGCCCUGCUUUUGUGGGGUGCUCGAGUGGCGAACGGGUGAGUAACACGUGAGUAACCUGCCCUUGACUUUGGGAUAACUUCAGGAAACUGGGGCUAAUACCGGAUAGGAGCUCCUGCUGCAUGGUGGGGGUUGGAAAGUUUCGGCGGUUGGGGAUGGACUCGCGGCUUAUCAGCUUGUUGGUGGGGUAGUGGCUUACCAAGGCUUUGACGGGUAGCCGGCCUGAGAGGGUGACCGGCCACAUUGGGACUGAGAUACGGCCCAGACUCCUACGGGAGGCAGCAGUGGGGAAUAUUGCACAAUGGGCUGAAGCCUGAUGCAGCAACGCCGCGUGCGGGAUGACGGCCUUCGGGUUGUAAACCGCUGUCGCCUGUGACGAAGCGUGAGUGACGGUAAUGGGUAAAGAAGCACCGGCUAACUACGUG
RNAcentral lists this ribosomal RNA (468 nucleotides) under uncultured bacterium. Its description in RNAcentral is "partial 16S ribosomal RNA". It matches the Rfam family "Bacterial small subunit ribosomal RNA", at positions 28 to 507 of the family's 1533-position model. The record is from RNAcentral.